ACUUCCUGAUGGCUCUCGGUUGGUCAUGGGAUUAGAUCCUCCCUUCGGAGUCCGAGCAUCUCUAGCAAACAAAUUUAUCAAUCAUGCCCUGAAGUUCCAACCCAGGCUCAUUAUCCUUAUUGUGCCUAAAGAUACUAAAAGAGUAAAAGGCUUGACAAGAAAAGGUAUCCGUAUGAUUUAAUCUGGAAGGAAGAGAACAUGCUCUCCGUCAAGGUAUUAUUAGUACUAGUCAGAUUAAUGACUAAACAGUAGAACAAUUUGACCCAUUUACCAGUAGUACAUGGGCUGAUUUAGGUAAUGUUCAUAACUAUAGGUUCAAGUGGCCUUAGAGCUUCUGAAUUAUAUGUAUAACUCACUCCUAAAUCCUAUUAUUAUGAAAAGCUAGAUGGUAAUAAUAAAGUUUUUAUAAUUAUACUUGGUACAUGAGUUAU
Long non-coding RNA from Erigeron canadensis, 431 nucleotides. RefSeq lists it as uncharacterized. The record is from RefSeq and is a predicted model, not a curated record. The transcript has 3 exons. Lineage: Eukaryota; Viridiplantae; Streptophyta; Magnoliopsida; Asterales; Asteraceae.